UGGGGAAUAUUGCACAAUGGGCGCAAGCCUGAUGCAGCCAUGCCGCGUGUAUGAAGAAGGCCUUCGGGUUGUAAAGUACUUUCAGCGAGGAGGAAGGCGUUGUGGUUAAUAACCGCAGCGAUUGACGUUACUCGCAGAAGAAGCACCGGCUAACUCCGUGCCAGCAGCCGCGGUAAUACGGAGGUUGCAAGCGUUAAUCGGAAUUACUGGGCGUAAAGCGCACGCAGGCGGUCUGUCAAGUCGGAUGUGAAAUCCCCGGGCUCAACCUGGGAACUGCAUCCGAAACUGGCAGGCUAGAGUCUUGUAGAGGGGGGUAGAAUUCCAGGUGUAGCGGUGAAAUGCGUAGAGAUCUGGAGGAAUACCGGUGGCGAAGGCGGCCCCCUGGACAAAGACUGACGCUCAGGUGCGAAAGCGUGGGGAGCAAACA
Molecule: ribosomal RNA, 427 nt
Filed under: uncultured bacterium
Lineage: Bacteria
Description: partial 16S ribosomal RNA
Rfam family: Bacterial small subunit ribosomal RNA
Source: RNAcentral